GCUCAACCCCGGGACUGCUUUGGAAACUGUAAAACUGGAGUACAGGAGAGGAAAGCGGAAUUCCUAGUGUAGCGGUGAAAUGCGUAGAUAUUAGGAAGAACACCAGUGGCGAAGGCGGCUUUCUGGACUGAAACUGACGCUGAGGCUCGAAAGCGUGGGGAGCGAACAGG
Molecule: ribosomal RNA, 170 nt
Filed under: uncultured bacterium
Lineage: Bacteria
Description: partial 16S ribosomal RNA
Rfam family: Bacterial small subunit ribosomal RNA
Source: RNAcentral